This 29-nucleotide non-coding RNA is filed under the name Mus musculus (house mouse). The record is from RNAcentral. Lineage: Eukaryota; Metazoa; Chordata; Mammalia; Rodentia; Muridae.
UCCAUGUGUAUGUGAUGUCUGCAAUUUUA